Molecule: ribosomal RNA, 497 nt
Filed under: uncultured bacterium
Lineage: Bacteria
Description: partial 16S ribosomal RNA
Rfam family: Bacterial small subunit ribosomal RNA
Source: RNAcentral
GGUGAACGCUGGCGGCGUGCCUAAUACAUGCAAGUCGAGCGAACAGAUAAGGAGCUUGCUCCUUUGACGUUAGCGGCGGACGGGUGAGUAACACGUGGGUAACCUACCUAUAAGACUGGAAUAACUCCGGGAAACCGGGGCUAAUGCCGGAUAACAUUUAGAACCGCAUGGUUCUAAAGUGAAAGAUGGUUUUGCUAUCACUUAUAGAUGGACCCGCGCCGUAUUAGCUAGUUGGUAAGGUAACGGCUUACCAAGGCAACGAUACGUAGCCGACCUGAGAGGGGGUAGGCCCCCACGGGAAUUGCGCCCCGUCCGAGACCCCACCGGGAGGAGACAAUGGGGAAUCCCCGGAAAGGGGGAAAGCCCGAAGGGACAACCGCCGGGUGGGGAAGAAGGUUCUUGGAAUCUAAAACCUCUUUUAUAGGGAAAAAAAAAUUUGGUAAGCACCUGUGCCCGUCUGGAGGGAACCAAAUAAAAAAGCCACGGCUAACACGGGC